CCUACGGGGUGCAGCAGUGGGGAAUAUUGGACAAUGGGCGAAAGCCUGAUCCAGCCAUGCCGCGUGUGUGAAGAAGGCCUUCGGGUUGUAAAGCACUUUCAGUGGGGAAGAAAGCCUUGGGGCUAAUACCCUCGAGGAAGGACAUCACCCACAGAAGAAGCACCGGCUAACUCCGUGCCAGCAGCCGCGGUAAUACGGAGGGUGCGAGCGUUAAUUGGAAUUACUGGGCGUAAAGCGCGCGUAGGCGGUCUGAUAAGCCGGUUGUGAAAGCCCCGGGCUCAACCUGGGAACGGCAUCCGGAACUGUCAGGCUAGAGUGCAGGAGAGGAAGGUAGAAUUCCCGGUGUAGCGGUGAAAUGCGUAGAGAUCGGGAGGAAUACCAGUGGCGAAGGCGGCCUUCUGGACUGACACUGACGCUGAGGUGCGAAAGCGUGGGUAGCAAACAGGAUUAGAUACCCUUGUAGUC
This 465-nucleotide ribosomal RNA is filed under the name Vreelandella stevensii. RNAcentral's name for it is "partial 16S ribosomal RNA". It matches the Rfam family "Bacterial small subunit ribosomal RNA", at positions 338 to 795 of the family's 1533-position model. The record is from RNAcentral. Lineage: Bacteria; Pseudomonadati; Pseudomonadota; Gammaproteobacteria; Oceanospirillales; Halomonadaceae.